CCUACGGGUGGCAGCAGUGAGGAAUAUUGGUCAAUGGGCGUAAGCCUGAACCAGCCAAGUCGCGUGAGGGAUGAAGGUUCUAUGGAUCGUAAACCUCUUUUAUAAGGGACUAAAGUGCGGGACGUGUCCCGUUUUGUAUGUACCUUAUGAAUAAGGAUCGGCUAACUCCGUGCCAGCAGCCGCGGUAAUACGGAGGAUCCGAGCGUUAUCCGUAUUUAUUGGGUUUAAAGGGUGCGUAGGCGGCCUUUUAAGUCAGCGGUGAAAGUCUGUGGCUCAACCAUAGAAUUGCCGUUGAAACUGGGAGGCUGGAGAAUGUUUGAGGCAGGCGGAAUGGGUGGUGUAGCGGUGAAAUGCUUAGAUAUCACGCAGAACACCGAUUGCGAAGGCAGACUGCCAAGCCAUGACUGACGCUGAUGCACGAAAGCGUGGGGAUCAAACAGGAUUAGAUACCCUUGUAGUC
Molecule: ribosomal RNA, 460 nt
Filed under: uncultured bacterium
Lineage: Bacteria
Description: partial 16S ribosomal RNA
Rfam family: Bacterial small subunit ribosomal RNA
Source: RNAcentral